UAAAUAAUGCAGGAAAAAUACCACGCGGGCCGGCAGCUCCCAGGCCGCUGUCCCCUGGCCACGCCCCAUGGACGUUCGCCCCUGGGCCGGAGCAAGCCACCUCCAUGGGGGGGCCCGGGAGCGGCCAGCCCGGGUGGAGGUGAGAGGGACAGUACAGUCACGUUUCCGCAGGUUCUCGCGUGCUGUCUGGGAGGGGUUGUGGGAUUUUUGGAAAACAAGUUUCCUGGACGGCCAGUGCUUCUGGAACUGCUGCCCCGGGCCAUGGCGGCUUUUCCCUAAAACAGGACGCUCUGAGUAGAAACCUGAGUUCACGGGCCCACGCCUGCUUACCAGUCGCUGCCCACCCUUUUAGCGAGGCUGGUGACCUGUCCGGCAGGGAGCAGGCGCAGGCGCGUGGUCCCCCAGGCCAGCAGCAGGCCGGGCGUGUGCAGCUCACCUGUGUUCUGGUGACCCGUCCUCUGGUUCCAGCUGGGGUGGUCCGGUACUGCGACCUCGGCUUCCUCGGUGUGUGACUGCAUGGCUCCAGGACCUGUCUUCAUUGUCACCUGGCCUUCUAUGUCCCCACGUGGCCUAGUGUCUGUGCAUUCUCUUAUGAGGACUGUCAUGCUAGAUGAAGGGCCACUGCUCUCCAGUGUGACCUCGUCUUCCCGGUUACAUCUGUACUGAUCCUGUGUCCCAGCUGGGCACACCUGAGCUUUGGGUGAGGACGUCCACGUACCUUCUGGAGGGAUACCGCCUGCUCCCUAAUGGAGGACCUCCCUGAAGUCUGAGCGGUGACCAGAGCUUCGUGGGGUGUGGCUGGGGGGCUGGGCAGUGCCAUCUCUGCAGGGGUCCAGGGAACGUGGGGCGGUGUGCAGAGAGCAGAGGUGGGGCUGACCGCCUAGGAGGAGACCCGGGGCCAGGACAGCUGCCUCCAGGCCCCGGCUCCAGUCACCCUGAGGCCUGCAGCAGUGCCAGCCUGCCUCCUGUGGCUCCAGGUCUGGGGCGGGUCCUUCCUUGUCCCACUCUUUCCCGUCUCUGCUGUCCCUCCAGGUUUCCCCGGGCUCCCCGCCCAGCGCCCGUCUAGAUCCACUACAAGGGCCUGGACUGUGAGCACUGGACUGUGUGCAGGGCCCACCACCCAUGCACACAGCUGCCCAGAGACGGACAGCUGUCCUGGGAGGCAGGCCCCGUGUUGCGGCUACGCCUCAGGCAGGUGGCGAGGUGGGAGGUGAGGGUCGGCUCACCCGUGAAGCUGCCUAGGUCUGGGCCCAGGCGGGGCCCUGCUCCUGGGCCCUCCGAGGAGGCCUGCGUGGUUGGUGACGCAGAUGUUCUCCCAGUGUGGGUGGGCUUCCUCCAUCCUGUCCAGGGUAACCAGCGGAGGACGGAGGCUUUACCCUUCCCCUCCUGCCUGCCCGAGCUGGGACGCCUGUGAGCUCAGGGGACCUGCCACUGGCCGGCCUGGCUCUCCAUCUGCCAACGGCAGGCGCUGGUGCCCCAGAAACCCCUCGCUCUCUCCAGUGGCUGUUUCUUGGAGAGCCCUGAUUUACAGAGGCGAAUGACGAAUCCAAGGUCACCAGGGUCUGGUCUGCAACCAGCGGUGGGGCCUCCUGGCCACCCCUCCCUCGUGUCCCCUCAGAGCCUCAGGACCUGCUGGGACCAGGAGGGGGCUGAGUGGGUCCGACAGGCUCCUCAACAGGGGAGGUGGGGCAGGAGAGCCAGGUGCAGAGUGGAGGGUGGGCAGAGGGAGGUGGAGGCCGGCACGCCCCUCUCCUCCCUGCCUCCCUCUCCUCUUUCUCGGUUCUAAUCUCAUCUUUUGGGAGGUGGCCAUGUUUCUCUUAUCAAAACCAACUUUGAAAAGAAGGAUCCUUUGUAGCCGACUGGUGAGACCCUCGCCUGCGGCCUGGAGGGAGGGCCCAGGGGCAAAGACUGAGAGGUGUUCCUGGAAGCCCAGAGCAGCUGCCAUCAGCCUCAGGGAACGUGGACCUGCAGGCGGGAGAGGAGUCUGCAGAAACCCGGAGCCGGACCUGCCCCAAGGGGGACCAGAGGAGAGGCCACGCCCGAGCCGGCCCCUGAGCUGCAGCCUCUGUGACCGGGAAGCAGAGUGGGCCAGACUGCUCCGGCUUCAGUCCUGCGCCAGCCACAGGGUGUUACCUGCGUUAUUUAAGCAAAACAAAGCGUGGGCUGUUUUCACGGCAGAGCAGUCCCUCUCUUCCUGGGCCUCCUUUCCUGUGAAUUAACAGAAACAAAUCGAAUCUGCCAGCCAGCCUGCUGCAUGGCUCACAGGAUCAUUCAGAUCCUCAUUCAAGGGGUGAAGUGGAUCAAUUUCUCCCUUUGUUCUUCUGCCCACAACCCGGCAGUCAGGAGGCUUUGAGUCCCGGAUGGACCAGGCACCAUGGCAGAAUUCAUUGAUAGAUCCGAGGGUGCCAACGCUGGGGGCCAGAGGGUCCCUGUCUCCCCAGGACCGUCCUUCCUGAUGGGUGGGUGCUCAGCAUUAACAGAGCUGCGCUGCCGUUGUAUGGUGACAUGCCGUACGUCAGGCCGAGCCUGGAGCCCAGUGAAAACUUGCAUUUACUCACACAAUUGGCAGUUUUGCAAAUGACCCUGGUGGGCGGAGCUUUACCAGGUCCUGAGCCCCGCAGGGGACAGUGCCAGGUGGGUGGGAGUGGCAGGGCUGGCCAGGGUCCUGAACCCACCAGUGCUUGCUCACUCUCCCCCUCUCCCCUGACCUGCAGGGUCCUCCCUGGGCCUCAUGUUCAGCCAUUCCCCUUCCCGGCCCCACCUAGGCCAUCCCCUAAGGUCAAGGGCACGUGAGGCUCUGGGGUCUCUAGGCCUGGAGCCAGUCCCGGGUCCCUCUCCCUCUCUACGUCCAGCCCUCAGGAACAGCUUCCCCUGGUCUUGAACACACACAGCCGCACACACAGGCAGCGCUGGACCCCAGGGCCAGGAGGGCGGCGUCCACCUCAGGCUGAGGUGGGCAGACCCAGCUCUCGGGGAUCACAUUCCCACACAGGCAGCCAGACUCUGCUGUUGUCAUGGAAAUCAGAGCGCCUCUCUGGCCUCUGUCCUUGUCUCCCUGCUGUCCCUUGCUGGCCUGUCCCCAGAGCUGUGCCACUCAAGUGUGGCCGUGGGAGGAGCUGCAAGAGAGAUGGCUCCAUCCAGGGCUGUGCUGGCAGACCCCAACUGCCCCAGGUGGUGGGCCUCGGUGGUGGAAGACACCAGAGUCUGAGAUGAGGCCUCGGGAUGCGGGGACUUGGUGCAGGAGACGCAGGGCCCACCACCAUGCACACAGCUGCCCAGAGACAAGGGCACGGCCUGCUGGUCACACACGUCUGUAUGGGCAAAGGCGCUGGACAGGCCCAGGACACAAAGCCUCUUUCCUGGAGUCCAGCCAGGCCAGUUUCCUUCGAGCCCAGCUGAACAGUGUUGACCGGGCCCCCAGGUUGGACGGGGCAAGUGGACUGUAGCGCUGCCCCAGGACUCCGGCUCCUGAUGGGAGCUGGCGUCUGCCCGUCCGCAGCUUCUGGUGGCUGCCCACAGUCCUGGUGUGGCUCCUUCCCCCAGCUCCAACCCAGGACGUGGCUCUGACCUCUCCGGCCUCCCUCCUCCACCGUGAAGGACCUGUGAUCACGCUGGCCACUUGGAUGAGCCAGGAGACUCUCCCUUCUCGGGGUCCACCAGAGGAGGCCCCUCUGCUUGGCGAGGCUGGGCACCCCCCCCACCACCACGGGGGUCUUCCCUGCGUCCCUCUAAGGAGGAAGCCGCUUCUCCUGGAGCACAGGGUUCUCGGCUUUCUCCAGGAGAAGACCUCAGGGUUCCCAGAGGGGCUGUUUCCGGUCACUCCUUCUGGCCACUGGUCAUGCAGGGAGGGGACGGCUGGAGAGGUGGUCGGCUGCUGGAGACCUUGGGUCCUGGUGUCAGAGCACCAUCGGAGGAGCAGGGUGUGGCGUGCACAGGUGACAGAACACCCUGGGCGCAGUCUUCUCACCAAAGCCAGGCUCUGACAUGCACGCGUCACGCUCCCACACGGGCCUGUGCCUGAGAGGACAGCCUGCUGCCUUCCGCCCGUCGGCCCUCUCCCCUGGACUGCUGUGCCCAGCUUCCCUCCCUGGCUAGACGGGAGGUUCCCUGGGGGUGCCGUCGAGGGCUCCCUCACCCUCCAUUUCCCGCUCACCUGCAUGCAGGCUCCAUCACCGUGCCCAGCCCCUUGUGGUCAUCUCAUCUCCCGAGGCCCCCUGCAGCUCAGUCCACCCGAGGUCUGUCCACUCUGAGGUUCACACCCUGUCUGCCUCAUCCCUCACCAAGGCCAGCAGCCUGGUGACGGCCCUGUCUUAGUCCCCAUGGCCCUGGGGAGCCCCCUCACACCCAGGGUCUCAGAGUCGGACAUCGACUAAGCCCCACUUCCCCAGUGAACCCGCUUCCCAUGUGACUGGGUGACAAAUCAUAUCUAGGACAGAGCCUGUUGCCUGUCAUCUAUGAUCUGGUGGUGCCUGUGUCACCUGUCACUCAAUCUGCAGUCACUCGAUGCUGGCAUCACCUGGACUCGCAGAUAGGGAGACUGAGACCUAGGGACACUCUGUGAGAGGCUCAGGCCCAGAGCCCGGAGGCCGUGGUGGGACUUGAACGCAGCCCGCCUGACUGGUGGCUUUUGGUGCCCACAGCUCCGCCCGGCCCUUAGGUGAGCACGCACGGAAAAUGUCUUCUUUAUUUUCUUGGCAGGGCAUCUUCUUAUUGCUGUUGCUUUUUAAUUUCCUGCUUUCUCUAAGGAAGCCUCUGUGCCUGUGGUCUGAGAAUGUCCCCUCACCCAGGGACAGUGGCCUUGACCGUUGGCGCCCCUCCGCCCUGCACACGCGCUUCCCCGGGUUUGCAGCCAAAACCCGGCGGCUGCCGUCCAGGAGGAUGGGCCUGGCCACGGUGCCGGCUCCCGCUCCACGGCGGGAAGCAGAUUUCCCAUUAAAAGGCAGAUCUUUAUUUCAAAAGGUUGAAUAGGAGGCAACUUAAAAAAGGAUUUCCAGCUGGUUAAAUUUAGGGCGCGCGCAGAGGUCCGCCGAGGAGCGGCUGGCGGUGCGCCUGCAGUCUUGACGGGCGCGCUGCUUUUCACUUUCAGGCCUGCCUCUCGGCGCUCUUCCCCUUUUGAGUUGGGCAAAUAAAUGCUGAUGGCGUGUCGGCCGGAGUGGCAGCGCCUGCUUACUCAAAA
Marmota monax (woodchuck) is the source of this 5176-nucleotide RNA transcript. RefSeq lists it as uncharacterized. NCBI's taxonomy places the organism in Eukaryota, Metazoa, Chordata, Mammalia, Rodentia, Sciuridae. The transcript has 6 exons. The record is from RefSeq and is a predicted model, not a curated record.